This 353-nucleotide long non-coding RNA is filed under the name Linum usitatissimum (flax). RNAcentral describes it as "long non-coding RNA (LUSI_LNC004945)". The record is from RNAcentral. Lineage: Eukaryota; Viridiplantae; Streptophyta; Magnoliopsida; Malpighiales; Linaceae.
AAGGCGGAGAAGCAAUUCCCCCCUGUUGGGGGUUCCUUUUACACGAUCCAAGAUCAAGAACAGGAGAAACUGCAAGACCUGAAACUGAAAGAAGGGGCGGGAUAUAGAUCCUAAGUAAGACGGAACCCCUGGAUAUAGAACCUACCCCAUACGGAGGUCAGGCUGCUUCACGGAUUGCAGAGCUGUACCACUUAUACUGCCUUAACUUACGAGCUACUUGUGUGGAGCUUCUUGGCUCAUCACCUCUACCUUCUCGAACUAUAGCAGACUUUUCGUUGUGAGAUAACUCGGGUGAGGAGACCGAGCGUAUAAAGACUUUCUUUCUAUAGAUAGGGGCCUAGGCCUAAAAAAAG